GACGAACACUGGCGGCGCGCUUAACACAUGCAAGUCGAACGGAAAGGCCUGCUUUCCCUUGUGGAUUGCGGGUACUCGAGUGGCGAACGGGUGAGUAACACGUGAGUGAUCUGCCCCCAACUUGGGUAUAAGCCUGGGAAACUGGGUCUAAUUCCCGAUAGGACUGCAGGGUGGUGCCUGUGGUGGAAAACGAUUUUCUAGUGGUUGGGGAUGAGCUCGCGGCCUAUCAGCUUGUUGGUGGGGUAAUGGCCUACCAAGGCGGCGACGGGUAGCCGGCCUGGGAGGGUGGACGGCCACAUUGGGACUGAGAUACGGCCCAGACUCCUACGGGAGGCAGCAGUGGGGAAGAUUGCACAAUGGGCGGAAGCCUGAUGCAGCGACGCCGCGUGGGGGAUGACGGCCUUCGGGUGGUAAACUCCUUUCGACCGCGAGGAAGCCACCUGGUUGGAAGGGUGGUGACGGUAGUGGUAGAAGAAGCACCGGCUAACUACGUG
RNAcentral lists this ribosomal RNA (494 nucleotides) under uncultured bacterium. Its description in RNAcentral is "partial 16S ribosomal RNA". It matches the Rfam family "Bacterial small subunit ribosomal RNA", at positions 28 to 507 of the family's 1533-position model. The record is from RNAcentral.